Pogoniulus pusillus (Red-fronted tinkerbird) is the source of this 255-nucleotide long non-coding RNA. RefSeq lists it as uncharacterized. Lineage: Eukaryota; Metazoa; Chordata; Aves; Piciformes; Lybiidae. The transcript has 3 exons. The record is from RefSeq and is a predicted model, not a curated record.
CUCCUGAACACAAGCAAGUCUUUUAUGUGGCUGCAUUGGGAAGAUGAAGCACGAAAGAUGCUGUGAAGAUGACACUUCAAAACAUGAGUCUGUUCCGCAGCUAGGCAAGAUAAGCAGUGACUUGAGAGCCCAGACGGGAUACGCGGCUUUGGGGAAAGGUGUGUGACUCGCGGAAGCUCCACAACUACCUGUGGCCAGAGAGAGCUAGAGAAGACAGUAACAUCAGCCACUUUACCCUGCCCAGAUCUGCGAGGA